RNAcentral lists this ribosomal RNA (243 nucleotides) under Silene regia (royal catchfly). The record is from RNAcentral. Lineage: Eukaryota; Viridiplantae; Streptophyta; Magnoliopsida; Caryophyllales; Caryophyllaceae.
UCGAAACCUGCCUAGCAGAGCGACCCGUGAACACGUUCAACCACGUGGGCGUUGGGGCGUUGCUCGGCGCCUAGUGUGCCGGACCGUCCCUCUCCCAAGCCGGGGGAACGCUCACUUGUGGGCUAUUUCCUCGGCAAAACAACGAACCCCGGCGCGUAAUGCGUCAAGGAAUACAAACAUUAUGUGUGUGCUCUCUUGUCGCCCGGUUGCCCGGGCUUGGAGCGGUGCCAUGUCUUAACAAUA